RNAcentral lists this ribosomal RNA (459 nucleotides) under uncultured bacterium. RNAcentral's name for it is "partial 16S ribosomal RNA". It matches the Rfam family "Bacterial small subunit ribosomal RNA", at positions 338 to 795 of the family's 1533-position model. The record is from RNAcentral.
CCUACGGGUGGCAGCAGUGAGGAAUAUUGGUCAAUGGGCGCGAGCCUGAACCAGCCAAGCCGCGUGAGGGAAGAAUGUACUGCGUGUUGUAAACCUCUUUUGUCAGGGAACAAAGGCGGGGACUAGUCCCCGGAUGAAGGUACCUGAUGAAAAAGCAUCGGCUAACUCCGUGCCAGCAGCCGCGGUAAUACGGAGGAUGCGAGCGUUAUCCGGAUUUAUUGGGUUUAAGGGGUGCGCAGGGGGCCUGUUAAGUCAGCGGUAAAAGCUCGGGGCUAAACCCCGGCGAGCCGUUGAAACUGGCGGGCUGGAGUUGGGGAGAGGUACGCGGAAUGCGCGGUGUAGCGGUGAAAUGCUUAGAUAUCGCGCAGAACCCCGAUUGCGAAGGCAGCGUACCGGCUCCACACUGACGCUGAGGCACGAAAGCGUGGGUAUCGAACAGGAUUAGAUACCCUGGUAGUC